This 603-nucleotide small RNA is filed under the name Pan troglodytes (chimpanzee). RNAcentral's name for it is "retained intron". The record is from RNAcentral. Lineage: Eukaryota; Metazoa; Chordata; Mammalia; Primates; Hominidae.
AUGAAUAAAAGGUUAUUUGAGCCAAAUUACAGGAAUGUGUAAUACUUGAGGGUUAGCUGGAGAACAAUGACCAGGUAUUGGGAGGGCUGGUCUCAACACAUUUCACUCUUCAGGGAGCCAAUUGAUAAUCUGAGUCCUGAGGAGCGUGAUGCCCGCACAGUUUUCUGUAUGCAGUUAGCUGCCCGAAUUCGGCCUCGAGAUCUGGAGGACUUUUUCUCUGCUGUAGGCAAGGUUCGCGAUGUACGUAUCAUCUCAGAUCGGAACUCACGUCGUUCUAAGGGCAUUGCCUACGUGGAAUUCUGUGAAAUCCAGUCUGUGCCACUGGCCAUUGGGCUGACUGGGCAGCGGUUGCUGGGAGUGCCUAUCAUUGUACAGGCUUCACAGGCAGAGAAAAACCGACUGGCAGCCAUGGCCAACAACCUGCAAAAGGGCAAUGGUGGACCAAUGCGCCUCUAUGUGGGUUCCCUGCACUUCAAUAUCACUGAAGACAUGCUCCGGGGCAUCUUUGAGCCCUUUGGUAAAAUUGAUAAUAUUGUCCUGAUGAAGGACUCGGAUACAGGCCACUCUAAAGGUUAUGGUUUCAUCACGGUGAGUCUCUAGUCU